GACGAACGCUGGCGGCGUGCUUAACACAUGCAAGUCGAGCGGAAAGGCCCUUCGGUUUUCUCAAGCGGCGAACGGGUGAGUAACACGUUAGUAAUCUGCCCUUCGCUUUGUGAUAACUAGCGAAAACGGUGGCUAAUAUCGUAUACGACAACCGUCUCUAUGGGCUGGUUGUGUAAAGUUUUUUCGUCCAGGGAUGUGCUCGCGGCCUAUCAGCUCGUUGGUUGGGUAAUGGCCUACCAAGGCUUCGACGGGUAGCCGGACUGAAUGGGUGACCGGCCACACUGGGACUGAGACACGGCGCGGAGUACCACGGGAGGCAGCAGUGGGGAAUAUUGGAGACUGGGCGGACGACUGAUCCAGAAACGCCGAGUGAGGGAUGACGGAAUUCGGGUUGUAAACAUAUGUAAGUACCGACGAAGGGACGAUGAUGGUGGUGACGGUAGGUACCGAAGAAGCAACGGCCAACUACGUG
RNAcentral lists this ribosomal RNA (472 nucleotides) under uncultured bacterium. RNAcentral describes it as "partial 16S ribosomal RNA". It matches the Rfam family "Bacterial small subunit ribosomal RNA", at positions 28 to 507 of the family's 1533-position model. The record is from RNAcentral.